CUGGAGGUCAGAGCACGAAGGUUUUGGAGCAGAGGGACUUUAGAGCUGUGAUUUGAGUCGGGAGAACGUUCGCAAAGUGUUUUCGAAAGGCUAGCUAAGGAGAAAACCAAGUUGUUGUUAUGUCGGUGGAGCAAGCUUUAGAUGGAGGAUCAACGGAAGCUUAGUUAUAAGAAUGAGCCUUAUAAUUUUUAGUCUAUGUUUUAAGUGUGAACUGUAUUUUAGUUUGAAUUAUGAGUGAGGGUUUGCAUAAUAAUGAGGAAAAUUGUUAUUCCUCCUCCUAUCAACUGUUCUAUGGUAUCAAUGAUGUAAGAACUCUAUUAUAGUUUAAUGCUAUAAUAAUUG
This 342-nucleotide small RNA is filed under the name Vigna angularis var. angularis. Its description in RNAcentral is "Non-protein coding transcript". Lineage: Eukaryota; Viridiplantae; Streptophyta; Magnoliopsida; Fabales; Fabaceae. The record is from RNAcentral.